RNAcentral lists this unclassified non-coding RNA (651 nucleotides) under Hevea brasiliensis (rubber tree). Lineage: Eukaryota; Viridiplantae; Streptophyta; Magnoliopsida; Malpighiales; Euphorbiaceae. The record is from RNAcentral.
GAAAGUUGGAAUUUUUGGGUUGUUUUUGUUUCAUUUCAAAUUUUCAGAGUUAUGGUUCGUGAGAAACAUAAACCUCUGAAGCUUUAUCAGGUUUGGAAGGGUAGUAAUAAAUUCUUAUUGGGAGGAAGAUUGAUCUUCGGUCCGGAUGUGUCAUCAUUGUUUCUAUCAACACUUUUGAUUGCUGGCCCAGCACUUGCUUUUUGUAUAAAAGUCUCUUGUGUAAUCAGACAUCGUAUCAGAGAGCACAAAGAUGCUGGUCCUUGGUAUCCUAUACUUGUAAUUGGAGCAGUUCUUACUAUUAUGGAUAUUGUUUUUCUCUUUUUAACAUCUAGUAGAGAUCCUGGAAUUGUCCCACGAAACAUAACUCCUCCUGAAUCUGACGAAACAUUUGAUAUACAUACCCCUUCCAUGGAGUGGGUCAACGGUAGAACUCCUCAUUUGAAACUUCCACGAGCAAAAGAUGUAAUCGUGAAUGGACACACAGUUAAAGUCAAGUACUGUGAUACAUGUUUGCUGUACCGGCCUCCUCGUUCCUCUCAUUGUUCGAUCUGCAACAAUUGUGUUCAAAGAUUUGAUCAUCACUGUCCCUGGGUUGGCCAAUGCAUUGGGCUUCGGAAUUACAGAUUCUUCUACUUGUUCAUAUCUACAUCA